UACAGAGGUCCCGAGCGUUGUUCGGAUUCACUGGGCGUAAAGGGUGCGUAGGUGGCACGGUAAGUUUGAUGUGAAAGCUCCGAGCUCAACUCGGAAAAUGCAUUAAAAACUAUCGAGCUAGAGGAUUGGAGGGGGGACUGGAAUUCUCGGUGUAGCAGUGAAAUGCGUAGAUAUCGAGAGGAACACCAGUGGCGAAGGCGAGUCCCUGGACAACUCCUGACACUGAGGCACGAAAGCUAGGGGAGCAAACAGG
Molecule: ribosomal RNA, 253 nt
Filed under: uncultured bacterium
Lineage: Bacteria
Description: partial 16S ribosomal RNA
Rfam family: Bacterial small subunit ribosomal RNA
Source: RNAcentral